GACGAACGCUGCGGCGUGCCUAAUAUAUGCAAGUAGAACGCUGAAGAGAGGAGCUUGCUCUUCUUGGAAGAGUUGCGAACGGGUGAGUAACGCGUAGGUAACCUGCCUUGUAGCGGGGGAUAACUAUUGGAAACGAUAGCUAAUACCGCAUAACAAUGGGUGACCCAUGUCAUUCAUUUGAAAGGGGCAACUGCUCCACUACAAGAUGGACCUGCGUUGUAUUAGCUAGUAGGUGAGGUAACGGCUCACCUAGGCGACGAUACAUAGCCGACCUGAGAGGGUGAUCGGCCACACUGGGACUGAGACACGGCCCAGACUCCUACGGGAGGCAGCAGUAGGGAAUCUUCGGCAAUGGGGGCAACCCUGACCGAGCAACGCCGCGUGAGUGAAGAAGGUUUUCGGAUCGUAAAGCUCUGUUGUAAGUCAAGAACGAGUGUGAGAGUGGAAAGUUCACACUGUGACGGUAGCUUACCAGAAAGGCG
This 482-nucleotide ribosomal RNA is filed under the name Streptococcus vestibularis. RNAcentral describes it as "bacterial SSU rRNA". It matches the Rfam family "Bacterial small subunit ribosomal RNA", at positions 28 to 493 of the family's 1533-position model. The record is from RNAcentral. Lineage: Bacteria; Bacillati; Bacillota; Bacilli; Lactobacillales; Streptococcaceae.